RNAcentral lists this long non-coding RNA (6460 nucleotides) under Sus scrofa (pig). RNAcentral describes it as "lncRNA (ENSSSCG00030049614.1)". The record is from RNAcentral. Lineage: Eukaryota; Metazoa; Chordata; Mammalia; Artiodactyla; Suidae.
GGUGAGGAUUCAAGUUCUGGCUCUGCUCUUCACUAGAUCAAGGUAUUUAAUCUUUCUGAGCUUCAGAGACAGUCUGAGAGAGCUGUUGUAAAAUAUCGUUUGGAAGAGUGAAUGGUGCAGUUGCAUGGUGCUAGUAUAUGGCAGGUGCCAAAUAAACUGGUUGCCUUCUCCGUCUUUAGUAAAGCAAACAGAAACUCAUCAUAUCAUGUCUCUGUACACAUCUCCUAGUAAGGAACUUACUUUGCCAAUUUGUUCCUCUAUUUUUUACAUAUUCAAUAAGCAUUCCUCUCUACUGGAUCAUUCCAAUCAAUAUAGCAUCAUGUAUUAUUUUUCUGUAUUAAAAUGAUCACUUGACUCUGCUUCUGUGAGUCUUCAUCCCGUUUCUGUCGUCCCCUUUACAUCAAACUUUGAAAGAUUUGUCUCUUCUCAGUGUUUUCCAUUUCUCUCCUCCUUUUCUAUAAAAACACCCUAAGCAGGAUUUCUCCACACUGCUCUAUGGAAAUUGCUCCCUUCAAGGUCACAACUGACCUCCAAACUGCUAAAUCCAGUAGUCAGUUCUCAGUCUUCCUCUUACUUGAUUCAUAGGCCACAUUUGACAUUGGUGAUUUGUUUCUCUUAGAUACAUGUUCUUUAGGUUUUUCCAGGGCUCUAACUGAGUUUCUUCCUGCUUUGCUGGUAGUUUUUUCUUGGUCUCCUUUGUUGGUGCCUUGUCUUCAUGACCUCUCCCUCAGGGGCUACCCCAGGCUCAGUGUGGUCCUUUCCUCUCUUUCCUUAUCCAUUUAUGCCCUUGAUGGUCUCAUCCAAUAUCAGGUUUAAACAAAAUCAAGGUGAUGAAGAGUCAAGAUCGCUCUCCCAACUCCUAGAUUCAAUAUUCAACUGUUUUACAUCUUUAUUUGGAAGUCUUAUAGACAACUCAAGCUGAACAUGUAAGUUAUCUUUCCACCUCACCCACCGUCACAACCUGCUCUGUUCUGCCACCUUCCCAUCUCAAAGAAUAACAGAUCAUUCCUUCUACUUGCUAAGUCCUAAAAACUUUUAGUCAACUCUGUAAGGCAUCUUUUUUUGGUUUAGCAGGGAUUUCUGUGCUCUUAUAAUACACUGUAUGGACUGUUAAUGUGAUAUUUAUCACACUCUUUCUGGUUUGCAUCUUUUUCUGUCUCCUUUUCUUUUUGGCUUAUUUGUACAAUCAACUCCUUGAAAUUAGGGACCCAUUCAUUGUGUGUCCUAGGCAUCUGGUACAAUGCUGAAUAUAAUAAAUGUUUGUGGAAUAAAUGAAUGAAAAAUUUAGGGCAGUGGUACCAUGAUCCAUGUUUCAAAAAAUUAGCUUAUAAUCCUUUAAGAGUAACUAAUAUAAACAUAAAAUAGAAGGAAGUAAGAAAUUAGGUGAAAAAUAUACAGAGAUUUUUCAAUUUUCAGUCUUUAUCUGGCAUUAUGGUUGAAGGUAGAGAUUUUUACCAAGGUCUGGUGAAACAGAACAGACAAACUAAUAGAUCAAUUUUAAAUCUCUUCAGUACACCAAUGUAAGGCAGGGUCAGAAAGGGGAUUGCAGUUGUACACACUGGGAAAAUCUGAGCUCUCAAUCAGAGAGACAUGAAUUGAAUUUCGGUCUUAUCAUUUACCAGCUCAGGGCUUUGGGAAAGUUAUUUAAUCUCCCUGAGCUGAAGCUUCCUCAUCUGUGAAAUGAGCAUAAUAAAUACUCACCUCAAAGAGUUGUUUUGAACAUUAAGUGGAAGAAAAGCCUGGUUUGUCACCAGGACUGAUUAAUAGUAGCUCUCAUUGGUCCCAAGAACAAUGGAUGUCUACCAACAGAGAAUUUCUAUCUCUACAGUGUUCUAUGUCUCUGUUUGUCAAAGUUCUUAUUUAAAUGUGUGUCUUCAUGUGUCUUGUGUUCUGUGUGUGUACUUGCGUUUAUGACUAUAGGUUUGGGAGCUUGGAGAGGAAAAAAUCUUUGAUCAAUGGUUCUCACCAUCUAUCUACAGAAAUGUGUGGCUCAGGUUGGCUUUUUCAACCCAUCCUCUCAACAACUUGCCCUGCAUCACCCACUGUCAAGUCUAUUGCCUUCUGCUUUGCUCAUACUAUUUCUGAGAAAGGUACAUAGAGAAAGCCAUGAUGAGGCUGCAUUCUUUAACCUCAGCUGUGAGCUCUUCCCAGGCUUAGUAUCCCUGUGCUUUGUCAUGCUGCUUUGGCAUGACUCCACCUGAGAAACCAAUAGUUACAGUCUUGAGUGGCCCCAGUAAUCCUUAUGUGCAUAUCCCCAAAGCCAACUUUGUGGGAAUCGAUUUCAUUAACAUGUAAAGCACAGUGCAAAUAUUAAAUUUCUAUAUGAAAACAGAGUCUAAGCAAGCAAAUCUUAACCUUGUAAAUGACUAACUUCCCCAUUUACUGCCGUAAAUAAUUAUGGACUCUCCACCCUAAUUCUACUAUGUUUGUUGCCUACAAGAUCCCAGUCCUGAUAUUCUGCCAGGUCUCCAGCCUAGCAGCAACUCAACUGGGCUCAUCAAGUUGAACAUAUCCUUUCUUUCUCACUCUUCCCUAUAAUUCACAAUAGCUGCACCUAUCAAAAUGUUCAUAAAUAUUGUGUUGAAUGGUAGCCAAGAAAGAAUACUCGUCUGUGUGCUUUGUACCCUAGGUUUCCUACAGUCAUCUAACUACAGGUGUAAUCAAUAUUUUGAAGCAUAUCCACCCAACUCUUAGAAAUGUAAGUCCAGUUAUUAUCUUUCUUCUGGUCAGUGGUCAGAUCAUCCCCCUAUAAUGUCAUGACCGUUAGUGUUUAAUAUUUUUUUUUCCCUUGGCAGACAGCAGAUUUCUUGAAGACAGGAGCAGUGUCUAAUUAACAUUUGAAGGAAAAGUGUGGAGAAGUGACCCUGGAUUUUAAUUCUAGUCAAAUGAACUUGUACACAUUAUUUACUCACCUGCAAUUUGCUUUGUUUAUAUUUAACUGGAAACAUGAAUAUUCAAACCACAGGCCGUUGGGGAAAUUAAUGUGAUUCUGAAUAUAAUAUGCAUGAUAGCAAAUGGAGGCCAGUAAAUAUUUCCUUUCUUCUCUUUUGGGUUCUUGUUUCUAGUGUUCUUUCUCUCUCUUUCUUCCUCUCUCUAUCCUACCUUUAUUUCUCAGCAUCCUACUUUAUUCAUGGUAAGCACUGAUGAAAGGUCACAUUAAUGAAGAACCAGUACAGAUAAAGAUAAGAUCAAGUCUUUCAGCCUGAUCUCAUAGUCCAUUUACUUUUCAGCAUUUCUUGUCCUGGGCCCACAUUAUAAACUACUUCAAAUUCUCUUAGCCUUAACUUUUAUGUAGCUACUGCUUCAGCAACCAGUUUCAUGCAGGUUGGACCAGAUUCAUCAGGUGCAACCUGAUAGCAUCUCACCUAAACAAGCACUGAAUACCUUUCACUUCCUGUCCUGGAGAUUCUCUGUCACUAAAGAUCGAAAUGUGCUGUGCACACACCUGGAAGUGUGGAGGAAGUACUGAGGGGGACCAUUCUUGACUGAAGGAGUCAGGACUGAUACGUAAAUUGGUUCACCCACCUAUUCCCUGGGGAGACAGUUUUGAGAACUAUUUCAUGAAGCUCUUUGGAAAGUCUCUCAGGAUUGAUGAUCAGGUGGCUUUUCCUCCCUUGUUUCAUGUCCUUGACCCUCCUUUGUCCUCCUGGGGACCACAUUCCUAAAUAAAUUAUCUGCCUCAAAGUCUUUGCCUCAGUCUUCACAUUCAGGAAACUCAGUCUAAGCUACUUCACCCACGAAAGCAGACUACUUCCUGGUGCAUAGUGCAAUCAAUAGUGCAUAAUUGUUGACUUCAAGUACCCACUGCUUUCCAGUGGGAACAGAUAAAAGAUUCACCAGUAUUUUCCCUCUGAGACUGAGCUGUUGAACACAGUUUUUCUUCCUCUUCAGUCUCUGCCCCAUUUGCGUCCCCUUGUGUUUUGAAUGAUGUAACCAUAACACAGAAACACUUGGCUGUAGUUCAUUGGCUAAAGGUUGGACAUCUGACCCAGAGGGAAUUGAUUCCUUGGCAUGGCUGAAUUGAUCAUGUUUGCCACCUAGUAUUUGAUAUCAGUAUAUAGUAAUACUAAUUUAUUUUGGUUGAAUUUUUAACUGGAAGUGUUAAAGCAUCAGUGAGAAGAUACAAGGGAAUAGAGGAAACAAGACUGCCAGUAAAGAUGACUCAACGCUAUGAGAGACUCAAUAAAAAUAAGACAUGAUGAGGUAGAGCUUUCCUAUACCCCCCUCCUGGGGCAUUGCUAUUCCUGCUUCUAGAACUUAUUGAAGAGCAAUUAUACUUCCUGCCCUUUGGUUCUAUGAGAUGUACCCUUGCCCUUAUAAUAAAUUCCCUAUGAGCUUAAGGUUAUGUCAGUGGCUUUAUUUCCCUUGGAAUCAAAUGCUCUCUAAAGUAGUCAAGGUAAUGAUUAGUUCUUUUACCCACUGGAUGGCCAGAUCCUUAAAGGCCAAGUUUGUAUUCUGCUCAUAAUUGUUUCCCCAAUAUCUCACUUACAGCUCUACAUGGUAGAUGCACAUAUUUGAUGAAUAACUAACUAAAAGAAUAAUCUCUUCCUGGAGUUCCCUUCAUGGCACAGUGGUAAUGAACCCGACUAGUAUCCAUGAGGAUGCAGGUUUGAUCCCUGGCCUCACUCAGUGGGUUAAGGAUCCAGUGUUAAUGUGAGCUGUGGUGUAAGUCACAGACGAGGCUCAGAUCCCUACACCAUUGCUGUGGCUGUGGUGUAGGCCGGUAGCUAGAGCUCUGAUUCUGUAUGCAUUGGGUAUGGCCCUAAAAAGAUUUAAAAAAGAAGAAGAAGAAUCUCUUCCUUUAUUCCCUUUCUUUCACAAUAUUUUCCCUGGCCACCUGAACAGCAGUGUAUAGAUCGACUCUGCAUCCUUCUGCUGUACGAGGUUUUCCUUCCAGCUGUAACCUUCUACUUUCUCAUCCACCCCACAUGCUGACCCAGGUCAUCCAUUGUUCAGUCUAUCACUUUGGUUUGGCUCCAUGCCAGCCACUGUUGCUGAAAAGGAGCCACAGAAUUGUGAUGGUCAUGUCCAUUUCAGGUUGAUUCUUUUUAACCUCAGUUUGGGUCUGCCUACAGUUUAGCAGCCCUUGACUUCCUCUAAAGGGAUCUGAUGUAAUCCCAAAGCAAGAGUUCCAAACCUUUUUUCUUGUUAUUCAAACUAUUUACCUACACAUUCAUGACUGCAUAGCCUCCUGCCUCACUGGAACAGAAUUGGUGAGGUAUGGUAAGAGUUAUCUUAAACUGUACCUCAUUGCUAUUCUGUAUUUUCACCUACCUUCUCUUCCAUUGGUCUUCCUCUACUGUUUGCCCAAAUUAAUAACUUUACUUCUACACUAGGUCCCCAUGCACAUCUCUUUUUAAAGAUUGACUACUCACUUCUCUGUUUUUCUUUCUUCAGAGAAUAUUGGAAAGUUAUGAACUUACAUUGCUGUCUGAGUUUCUCAUCUGCUUAGCUCAGUGAUGUGGACAUGUUCUCGAAUUAUUUAUGACCCAUUUGUUGCCCAGAUAUAAGGGCUAGGUGAGCUUGAUCAGCCAGGCCUAACUGCCACCCUUAUCUUCAGCUGAGAGUCACAGUCUGAAAGCCAGCAAUCUUCAACAAAAGUGUCAUUUCCAAGCACUUCAGCAGAAAUAGACUCUUCACUUUGUUAUUUGGAAGGGGGCUGGGAAGAAAAUGAACAAACACAUCCAGAAUGAUGUUUUUUUUCUUUUGACCAAAACUUCAGACAUUAGAGACAUUGCAGUGAGUUCCCUGAGCUGCAAAGUUUCUUUGGUUGGAAUGGCUUCAUUUUAACAGUGGAGUUUCAAGUGUCCAUUCUUUGCUCUUAAAAGUGACCAGUUAAUGAGAAGGGGACAAUUCUAAUGGUGAUAGUAAUAAUGGCAAGCAGGGUGGGCUAAAUGCUAUCACAAAGAAACCAAGGGUGGGUUGGCAGUUGCAUUCCUAGUGGGGCAGCCCUCCUGUGCACUUUGGCUCCAAAGAACAACUCAGGGAUGCAGACUCCUUCCAUCUUGGAAAGCCCUCAGACUCAUCCCUAAGAUUCCAGGUGAUGCAGAAGGUAAAGACAAAACAUGGUGAGCCCUUACCAUAUUAAAUUCCUUGUCAGGAAUAGACACACACCAGUUCUGCUCAUAUUGGCCAAGAAGGAGAAACAGGGUCCUACACAGAGUAAAUGAAAGGAGACUGGGAAACAUCAUCACUGGUUUGACAACUACUUCCCCGCACUCUAUACCACAGUAAGGAAACAUGAAUAUUUAAUAAUCUGAAUUUCACAUGGUUUGGUAUGUGUUGAGCACUUUUUAAAGUUAAUUUACAUAAUACCUUUUUACUACAGGUAAAACUAUAACAUCAACCACUCUUUCUUCCUGUUAAAUAGAAUCGUCAUGAGCUAAAUAGGUUAGUAAGUGCGAAAUACUUGAAUAUGCCCCCAAUUUGGCUCUAAAAAGCAAAAAAAAAAAAAAAAAAA